This is a non-coding RNA of Henosepilachna vigintioctopunctata, 76 nucleotides long. Lineage: Eukaryota; Metazoa; Arthropoda; Insecta; Coleoptera; Coccinellidae. The record is from the annotation of a GenBank genome assembly.
GACCUCGUUAGCUUAGUUGGUAGAGCAGCGGGGCGUAAACCUCAAAAUCUCUGGGUUCGAAUCCCAGUCGAGUUCG